RNAcentral lists this ribosomal RNA (629 nucleotides) under uncultured Clostridium sp. RNAcentral describes it as "bacterial SSU rRNA". It matches the Rfam family "Bacterial small subunit ribosomal RNA", at positions 74 to 718 of the family's 1533-position model. Lineage: Bacteria; Bacillati; Bacillota; Clostridia; Eubacteriales; Clostridiaceae. The record is from RNAcentral.
UUUCGGGAAUGGAAGCGAAAUGAAAGUGGCGAACGGGUGAGUAACACGUGAGCAACCUACCUUACACAGAGGGAUAGCCGUUGGAAACGACGAUUAAUACCGCAUGAGACCACAGAAUCGCAUGAUAUAGGGGUCAAAGAUUUAUCGGUGUAAGAAGGGCUCGCGUCUGAUUAGCUAGUUGGAAGGGUAAAGGCCUACCAAGGCGACGAUCAGUAGCCGGUCUGAGAGGAUGAACGGCCACAUUGGAACUGAGACACGGUCCAAACUCCUACGGGAGGCAGCAGUGGGGAAUAUUGCACAAUGGGGGGAACCCUGAUGCAGCGACGCCGCGUGAGCGAAGAAGGUUUUCGAAUCGUAAAGCUCUGUCCUAUGAGAAGAUAAUGACGGUAUCAUAGGAGGAAGCCCCGGCUAAAUACGUGCCAGCAGCCGCGGUAAUACGUAUGGGGCGAGCGUUGUCCGGAAUUAUUGGGCGUAAAGGGUACGUAGGCGGUUUUUUAAGUCAGGUGUGAAAGCGUGAGGCUUAACCUCAUUAAGCACUUGAAACUGGAAGACUUGAGUGAAGGAGAGGAAAGUGGAAUUCCUAGUGUAGCGGUGAAAUGCGUAGAUAUUAGGAGGAAUACCGGUGGCGA